GGUCAUGUACAGGCAAACAGAGAGAAGGGAAAAGAAACAAUCUGUGCUCUCAAAUAACAAAGCAGUCUCAAAUCUUUUUGAGGAAUUACAGCUAAAAAAAAUUCUACUUUGCAUACAGUACAUCCUCUCAUAAAUAAAGUGAAGUACUUUGAUUGCAUUUCUGUGGUGUUCCUGUAGGUGACCAUGAUGCAGCCAGACUGAAGCAGCAGGUUGUGAAGGUGGACGCCAUCAUCUUGUCUUUGCAGCGCUGAUUCUGAAGAGAACACCUUCAUAUAGGACUCAAAGGAAAUCAAUGCUCAAAGGAAACAGCAGUUCAGAGUCUGAUUCCAGCUCCGAAGAUGCCCUCAGAUUCAGAUCCAUCAACAACCCCUGACAACAUGGAGGACUCGUCCCCUGAGCGUUUCCUGUCCCCUCUCGAUGGAGUUCUUCUCUUCAGUCAUUAACUCUUGAAAACAGUAGCACAAAAUGCCAGACUGUUUGACAAGUCUGUGAUUGAAUAAAUGGAAAUGGAAUCUCA
Long non-coding RNA from Labrus mixtus (cuckoo wrasse), 517 nucleotides. RefSeq lists it as uncharacterized. The record is from RefSeq and is a predicted model, not a curated record. Lineage: Eukaryota; Metazoa; Chordata; Actinopteri; Labriformes; Labridae. The transcript is spliced from 3 exons.